RNAcentral lists this ribosomal RNA (497 nucleotides) under uncultured bacterium. RNAcentral's name for it is "partial 16S ribosomal RNA". It matches the Rfam family "Bacterial small subunit ribosomal RNA", at positions 28 to 507 of the family's 1533-position model. The record is from RNAcentral.
GAUGAACGCUGGCGGCGUGCCUAAUACAUGCAAGUCGAGCGAACGGACGAGAAGCUUGCUUCUCUGACGUUAGCGGCAGACGGGUGAGUAACACGUGGAUAACCUACCUAUAAGACUGGGAUAACUUCGGGAAACCGGAGCUAACACCGGAUGAUAUCUUGAACCGCAUGGUUCAAAAGUGAAAGACGGUCUUGCUGUCACUUAUAGAUGGAUCCGCGCUGCAUGAGCUAGUUGGUAAGGUAACGGCUUACCAAGGCAACUAUGCAUAGCCGACCUGAGAGGGUGGACGGCCAGCCGGGAACUGAGACACGAUCCAGACUCCUACGGGAGGAAGCAGUAGGGAAUCUUCCGCGAUGGAGCAAAGCCUGACAGAGCAACGUCGCGUGAGUGAUGAAGGUCUUCGGAUCGGAAAACGAUGUUAUUAGGGAAGUACAUAUGUGUAAGUAACUGUGCACAUCUUGACGGUACCUAAUCAGAAAGCCACGGCUAACUACGUG